AAUGUACUCCAGAAAUACAUGUUACAUAUCGGUUUAAAAAUGUUUUAAUCAAAAAUAUUUCAUAUCAGUGAUACAAAAUGCCCCACUUUUCUUUCACGUGUACCUUUGUUAAAAUUGCACAUUGUUUUCAUUCUGAAGUGUCUGAUUAAAUUUUAAUCCUUUACCAAAUACUAGGUCUGACUACUUAAAUCUGACAAAUCAAUCAGGGAAUACUAGCGUAACUGGGGAACUAUUCAAGUAGUAGUUUAGUAUAUCCUUAGAAAACUUCCAACUUAAACUUGCCUGUUGCGUACCCAUCGCAUUUUUAUUUAACUGUCAAAAUGAUGAGAUUCCACUUAAUUGGUCCGUGUUUCUGAAACACAUGAUAUUUGUGGAAAUUCUGACUUGGCAAACGGAAUACCAUUUUGCUUUUAUUGGUUGUAUAAAAUGUUUGAUUUUUUUUUUUUUUCCCAAAAGUUUCAGGAUAACCAAGUAAGUGUCAUUGGUUUUUGUUAGGUCAUCGUAUUGAGGAAGUUCCUGAACUUCCUUUGGUAGUUGAAGAUAAAGUUGAAGGCUACAAGAAGACCAAGGAAGCUGUUUUGCUCCUUAAGAAACUUAAAGCCUGGAAUGAUAUCAAAAAGGUCUAUGCCUCUCAGCGAAUGAGAGCUGGCAAAGGCAAAAUGAGAAACCGUCGCCGUAUCCAGCGCAGGGGCCCGUGCAUCAUCUAUAAUGAGGAUAAUGGUAUCAUCAAGGCCUUCAGAAACAUCCCUGGAAUUACUCUGCUUAAUGUAAGCAAGCUGAACAUUUUGAAGCUUGCUCCUGGUGGGCAUGUGGGACGUUUCUGCAUUUGGACUGAAAGUGCUUUCCGGAAGUUAGAUGAAUUGUAUGGCACUUGGCGUAAAGCCGCUUCCCUCAAGAGUAACUACAAUCUUCCCAUGCACAAGAUGAUUAAUACAGAUCUUAGCAGAAUCUUGAAAAGCCCAGAGAUCCAAAGAGCCCUUCGAGCACCACGCAAGAAGAUCCAUCGCAGAGUCCUAAAGAAGAACCCACUGAAAAACUUGAGAAUCAUGUUGAAGCUAAACCCAUAUGCAAAGACCAUGCGCCGGAACACCAUUCUUCGCCAGGCCAGGA
RNAcentral lists this small RNA (1110 nucleotides) under Pan troglodytes (chimpanzee). Its description in RNAcentral is "retained intron". The stretch from base 316 to 387 matches the Rfam family "Small nucleolar RNA SNORD18". The record is from RNAcentral. Lineage: Eukaryota; Metazoa; Chordata; Mammalia; Primates; Hominidae.